Molecule: small nuclear RNA, 168 nt
Filed under: Pogona vitticeps (central bearded dragon)
Lineage: Eukaryota; Metazoa; Chordata; Lepidosauria; Squamata; Agamidae
Description: U1 spliceosomal RNA (ENSPVIG00000014312.1)
Rfam family: U1 spliceosomal RNA
About the family: U1 is a small nuclear RNA (snRNA) component of the spliceosome (involved in pre-mRNA splicing). Its 5' end forms complementary base pairs with the 5' splice junction, thus defining the 5' donor site of an intron. There are significant differences in sequence and secondary structure between metazoan and yeast U1 snRNAs, the latter being much longer (568 nucleotides as compared to 164 nucleotides in human).
Source: Rfam by way of RNAcentral
ACUCAUACCUGGCAGGGGAGAUACCAUUAUUGUAAAAGUGUUUUUCCCAGGGUAAGGCUCAUCUACGUAUUGCACUUUGGAUGUGCUGAUCCCUGUGAUUUCCCCAAAUGUGGGAAAAUCAACUGCCUAAUUUGUGGUAGUGGGGGACUGUGUUUGUGGUUUCCCCUG